AUGGGUAAGUUAUAUCUCCCUGCUCCCAUUUUUCCCGCAUUCUUUGUCGUAAGUAUUCACCUUGCCACUUUGCGGCAGGAACUACGAAAAGCCAUAAAGGAGGUCAGCAGCCCUUCUCCACAACCAGAGGACCCUGACCGGGCCCUCGACUCCGGACUUGAAGAAGAUUCAGUUAUAUUCGUGGAGCUGAUAGACCGGCAGUUCUAUCAGUUAAGCUGCGACGAUGCCAUGGUGGCCAUUACGGCCGACUAUCCCGGACUGCUCCCUGCAUCGCAAGUAAGAAAAACCAAAAAUCCCAACUCCAAAACUAGGAUCCCCUUUUAA
This 324-nucleotide ribosomal RNA is filed under the name Triticum aestivum (bread wheat). Its description in RNAcentral is "partial small subunit ribosomal RNA". The record is from RNAcentral. Lineage: Eukaryota; Viridiplantae; Streptophyta; Magnoliopsida; Poales; Poaceae.